This 163-nucleotide ribosomal RNA is filed under the name Fusarium oxysporum. RNAcentral describes it as "5.8S ribosomal RNA". It matches the Rfam family "5.8S ribosomal RNA". Rfam says of the family: 5.8S ribosomal RNA (5.8S rRNA) is a component of the large subunit of the eukaryotic ribosome. It is transcribed by RNA polymerase I as part of the 45S precursor that also contains 18S and 28S rRNA. Functionally, it is thought that 5.8S rRNA may be involved in ribosome translocation. Lineage: Eukaryota; Fungi; Ascomycota; Sordariomycetes; Hypocreales; Nectriaceae. The record is from RNAcentral.
AUAAAUCAAAACUUUCAACAACGGAUCUCUUGGUUCUGGCAUCGAUGAAGAACGCAGCAAAAUGCGAUAAGUAAUGUGAAUUGCAGAAUUCAGUGAAUCAUCGAAUCUUUGAACGCACAUUGCGCCCGCCAGUAUUCUGGCGGGCAUGCCUGUUCGAGCGUCA